GUGGUCAUACAGCUUGCACAUACAUUAAACUUAGAACAAUACACAGAAGACUAACAUGGCUCCUGGGCCAGGAUGACAUGCAAAUUUGUAAACCAUUCCAUAUUUUU
This is a small nuclear RNA of Gracilinanus agilis (Agile Gracile Mouse Opossum), 107 nucleotides long. The record is from RefSeq and is a predicted model, not a curated record. Lineage: Eukaryota; Metazoa; Chordata; Mammalia; Didelphimorphia; Didelphidae.